This 139-nucleotide ribosomal RNA is filed under the name uncultured eukaryote. Its description in RNAcentral is "partial 18S ribosomal RNA". It matches the Rfam family "Eukaryotic small subunit ribosomal RNA", at positions 1299 to 1458 of the family's 1831-position model. The record is from RNAcentral.
UGGUGGAGUGAUUUGUCUGCUUAAUUGCGAUAACGAACGAGACCUUAACCUGCUAAAUAGCCAGGCCAGCUUUUGCCGGUCGCGGGCUUCUUAGAGGGACUAUCGGGUUCUAAACCGAUGGAAGUUUGAGGCAAUAACA